Mesoplodon densirostris (Blainville's beaked whale) is the source of this 6143-nucleotide long non-coding RNA. RefSeq lists it as uncharacterized. The transcript has 5 exons. Lineage: Eukaryota; Metazoa; Chordata; Mammalia; Artiodactyla; Ziphiidae. The record is from RefSeq and is a predicted model, not a curated record.
UCCUAGAAUAUCCCUGAAGAUGUCUGACAGUCGAGAAGGGCCAGGCUGCCCGAAGAUUCCUACUUGCUUUUAGCCACCUUCCAACAGGCCAUCUCCAGCCAGCAAUUUGAAGCACAGAUGAAAUGAAAACUCCCCCAAGUGUGGAGAUCUUAGGAGCUUCCUAGAAGGUGGGACGUUUAUGAUGAUAGGCAUCUUGCUGGGAUCCCAGGGGAGUCUGAGCUGGCCUGAAGCUCAUCUUCCUCCUCCACCUCUCAAGAGAAAUGUGGAGGAAAGAAGACUUCAAAAACUUAAAUCUGACAGCCCUACUGAUGAUCCACAAUGGAGGCAGUUCAGGAGCGGUACAUGCUGGCUCUCGGACAGUCAGAAAUGGCUUCAGCAGAUCCAGAGCGAGAGCAGUGCCGAGGCCCUAGAAAUGCCAUGGAUAUUCUGAGCUGUCAGUGGCAUUUCCCAGUCAGCUAGGCACUGUGAGUUCACUGCAUUAGGAAGGUAAAGACUCAGCCGAAAUGAGGGAGAAAAAAAGAAAAUUCUCAGCUUUGGAAUGUUCAAAACAGAGGCCACAGUAGAACAGACCACGGCAUUCUGUCUGCUACUCUCCCGAGGGUCCUUUCUUCUCCCUGGAAGGGAUCAAACAACUGAGGUAGAACAGGAAGAGACAAGCAGCACUCCAAGCUCUGCUGGUCAGGGUCACCCUCCAGCGUUGCCUUAAUGCUCAGAGCCAGACACACCACAGUGAGCUUGGCUCCAGAUCAACUACCACGCAACGAAGGUUCUGGAACACUUCCAUAUCUCAGGGGACCUCAUUUCCACGUGACUCUCUUUCAUAUUCCCCUUUGUCACAGAAGGCUAGGUACAGUGGUCCGGGUGAGAUCUCAGCUCAGGCCAAAGGCUCUCAGACCUCAAAGUUCUGGUCCUGCAAGGGCCCCUGUCCUCUCUUCAGACCACUCCUGGCUCUCUCUGCCGACAAGGAGCUGCUGGUGGUACGUCCUCUAAGAGUUGAGGUCCAUCGUGCAGACCCUGAGAAAACUCCUAGGAAAAGGCUCCACCUUCUUGUUGAAGUCAGCAGAGCUCAAUUCCUUUGGAAGUGCUGGGUGUGUCCCAAGUUGAUGCAAGUGCAGAGCCAUUAGGUAAACCAGCACAUGUGUGCGGCCCCUUCCCUUAGACUCCUCUGGGCCCUCGUGACAUAGGCUCAGAAGAGUGCCAGCCUCAAGCCUUACCUCUUCCAAGGCCACACCGUCUCCAGGAUCUUCUGUCCCAUGAAUCUCAGUAGCUGUGUGGAACUCAAAAGAGAGAAAAGACCCUGCCUGCGGUGUCUCUUCGGGCUGGGGCCUACUUGCUUCUCUUCCUCGUCCUCCUCGUCCUCGUCCUCCUCGUCCUCCUCGUCCUCCUCCUCGGGGUGAUCUCGGAUUCCACAUUGCCCAUCCACUGGGCCAUGUUGAGAUGAAAGAUACGGCAGCUGAAGCCCUCCAGGACGCCGCCCUUCACGUGCUGCUGGAGGAUCUCCAAGGUGUGGAAGACCCGGCAGCAGGCCAUGCACCUGAAGCCGGUCUCCAUGGUCACCAUCCAGUCCGGUGUCUUGGCCCUGGGUCUCUCCUCGAUGGCAGGUGACCCUGAUGGGCUGCCUGGCUCUGCCCUUUCCUCAUACUCUUUCUCCUCCCCAGUGGGCUCACUGUCAGACAGGAGGUUUUCGGUGGACACAUCAGAGGGGUAAGUGCCUACUGUGCACGCAUCCUCAGGAAGGGUCACUUCUUCUAUCGUCAGCUGCUUUUCAGGCAACUCCAAGGGUUUCUUUGUCUUCCAGGAGACAGCUACACCCUUGUUCACUUGUACCUGCAUGUAGUAUAUUUUCAUGCCCCUUUCCUCUUUGUCUGGGUGCAGAUUGUUCUUACAGGGUGAAGAGGGUGAGGAGGAGACACAGUGUGAUGGGGGAGCGGUCUCUCCUUCUUCCUGAUCCUGGGCUAGGGGUGCUGUAGGCUGGGCAGUGUCUCGAUAUGAUCUCCGGAUUCCUGAAAAAGGAAAUUAAAAACAUAAUAACAUGCAUGGGCCAUGCCGGAAGCUGAGGGAGCAGGUGUGGUAGACGAGAGAGGGACAUUUGCAUGACGUAGCUAUGUCGUGAGCUUGGUGUCUGUUGGCCGAAGGAUGGAGCGGUGUAUCUGGUGUCAUCUGUGGGCUUUUCAUGUGCGUGUGGGGGGAUACUGGAGCGGUGUCUGUAUACAGGGGUGUGGAGUAUGGUGGGUGAGGGCUGUGGUAUGUGAGCGACGCGGGUGGAUGCGUGUACGACGAGGAGUGUGAGUUUGGGAACAUCGGUGGUGCAUUACUUGUGGAAUGGGGCUGUGGUGCUUGGGGUUUCUGUGUGCACUGAGAAGGGCUGUGCCUGGAGGGCGGAUGUAUGUGUGAGCUGUGUGGACCUGAGCUGGAGGGUCCUGCUCUCAGGCUGGAGGUCUAUGAUGCAGAACUCUGUCCUUCUCUGGAAGCAAAGGCAAAGAGAAACCCUACAUUUUCCUCUGAAGAUGCUUAAUCUGGUCCCUCUUCCCUCCACCUCAAGCCCAGACCUUUCCGGCCCCUGCUCCUUGACUUCCCCACCAUGGUAGUACCAGGAUUCACACCCGGCACCCCCCCGCCCCCGACUCAGCUGGUAUCCACACCCUCGUAACAGCUCAGCCAUCCUGCCCAGGCUCCUCCACAGAGCCCUCAUCACCUCUGAUGACCCUGGGUUUCCUCUCAGCCUCCCUGGGAUCUGUGUGCCUCCUGCCUCACAGCCAAGAAGCCCCUCACCUGAGGAGCCCCACGCCCUUACCAGCGUAGAUGAGCUUGCACUGAGAAGAAGCACACGAGAAGUGUUUAGGGGCAGAGGAGACCUCCCCUGCCCCUGGGCUGCAGCCUUGGGCCACGACAGUGGAUCCAAGGUGAGGGAGAUCCUCUUGUGACUUCGAGAUUCCUGAGGGAGGAAUGAAAGGCUCACGGUGGGUUCAUCAGUCCUCUGUCCAGAAGUAUUUACCGAGUGUCUGGCACAUGUCAGUUGCAGUGAAUACACACAGUUGAGAGUGUGGUUCCCAGUGGAUACUCCAGUAUUUAAUUCAAAUCAGUACUUACUCUGUCACUGUCUUGUUGGUAAUGUAGGCCUCGGUGGUGACUGUGAGUAUGUGGGAAGAGUGAGUGAUGUGUAUCAGUUAAGUCUGUGGUAAGUGUGGGGUUGGCAUGGGGAGCACGGUGGAGAUGUGUCUUAUCUGUGUCUGUGGCCUUUGUGUGCAUGGUUUCUGUUCACAAGUCAGGAAUUCUGGGACAUGUAACUUUUCCUCAUUACAUGGUGUGGCUUGUAUUUAUGGUGUGUGUUCAUUCAUUGAUUCACCAAGAUUCAGUAAGCAGCUACUCCUGUGUAUCUGGCACUCUUCCAUUGUUCUAGUCUCUGGUAAUGCUGCACAUUCUAGUAGGGGAAGACACAGACUAAACAAAAAUACAAUAAAAAUAUAAUACCUGAGCUGGUGGUAAGUAUAUAAGGGUUGCCAGAAUAAGCGAAGAAAAAUACAGGGCACCCAGUUAAAUUUCAGUUUCAGAUAAACCCAGAAUAAUUUUUUAGUGUAAGUAUUCCCAUGCACUAUUUGGUCGUACUUACUUUUAGUGUAAGUAUGGCCCAUACAAUAUUUGGGACAUACUGAUACUGAAAAAUUACUUGUUGUUUAUCUGGAAUUCAAAUUGAACUGGAUAGCCCAUAUUUUAUCUGGCAACCCUGACAUGGGUUAGUGAGACUGUGGUUCACUGUGGUUUGUACAAAGCGGGUCUGGCAUUACUCAAGAAUGUGUUACAAGUGUGGUGUGUAUGACACGUGACUGGUUCUUAUAGAGGUAUUUAGAGAUGGCUGAAGUUAGCUGUGUUUGUGCGAGAGUUGAGGAGAUACUUAUAUAUAUAUAGUGUGUGUGUCUAUAUACAUAUCUCAUCUCCAGCGUUUGGUGUUGGAGGAGAGGAUUGUGAUCCAGGUGGGUUGUAUGAGAACGUAGUACAGGAGGGAUGCGUGUAUAUACCUCCAUGUGCUGUGUGUGGUUUAAUACGGAAGUUAUAUGUGGGGUGUGUGAUAUUUUUGCUGUAUCAGAGUGUCCAUGGGUGUAUGAGUUACUGUCUCAUAAAACACCCCUACCAAGAGUUCUGUAUACACUCUUACAUACACCGAGUGUCAGCCAGGUCCAGGCAGGGUGACAAGAACUGUACCACGCAGAGUUUAUAUCUGAUAAGCACUCUACCCCCAUUCAUCCUGCUCUUCUCUGCACUACCACACACACACACGCACACACGCUCACACACACACACACAGGAACAUAGAGAAAAAUAUUCUGAAUGGUCAGGGGCAGUCAUUGCCUUCCCCAGCCUGUUCCAGCCACUGCCUGGAAAUCUGCCUGCUGUUUAGAGCUCCAUUCCCAGGGCCCAUCCUACAGUCUCCAGGGUCCUGGGCCUGGUAGGAGCUCCUGGGCUCUAAUCUGGGGCAGAGACCUCUAGCUGGAACUCUGGGGUGACCACCCCCUCCCAGGGCAAGCUACUCGCCUACAUUUAAUGCACGCAGGCACCACGUGGCCCGUGGCACUCAGAGCUCCUCGCAGGACCCUGAGGACAUUUCUCACCCCCGCCCACGUGGUCUCAGUCUCUGGAAAGCCCUUCCCUUCCCUUGAUCUCCUUUGGGAAAUUGUUCCUGUUGAAGGAAUAAAACCUCCUUGCUUUCAAUAUGACACCAUCCCUAGACAAACAAUCUUCUUUCGAACUGCAUUCCACUUGUCAAGAUACUUUUCAACAGGGCCUUCAACUCAUGGGGCUUCUCUUUCCACUUUGGUAAAAGAGGCCAAGCAAGUCAUGGGUCUCUCUCAGCAUCCUUGCAUCCUUCACAUCCCCCACCUCAUGACCCCAGGGAAAGAUCCAAGAGAAUAAGAGAGAAAUCGGGGACUGAGAAAAGCUGCACCUCUAGGUCUGUGCAAGCAGGAUGCAGCCUGCUGUGAGUCCGACAAAGCUCCAGGCCCGGCAGCCCCAGGAGAGAGUCCUCAGAGCAGCGGAGCUGACCUCCCAUCUCCCAGGGGGCAUCUGGCCGUUCUGUGCCGUCUCACACCACAGGGACGCUCCGGAUGGAUACGGCAGCAUCAGUGAGACAAGGUCUCUCGCUCCCUGCUUCACAGGUGACACGUUCUCAGUCCCCUCCUUCUUAGAGAAGGUUCAGUUUGGCAGAAACCCAUGUGCCCCAGCCAAGUUGCCCCCCACAUACCUCCUCCCUUCUCGGCAGUUUCCUGGGACUCUUCAUUUUCCAGAUGUUUCCUCUUUUGUCGCCGUUUCAUCGUACCAACUAGAAGUCUCCCUUAGAAGAUGCCUCAAGAGAUGUCCAACUCCUCCUCUUCGCUACAGGUUGGCCCUUGUUGGCUCUUGGGCAAUCCGUUGAAAUGAUUCAAUACAAAUCAAAAUAGUCAAGUCUCCUAAAUGGCUGAAAACCUUGUACCACUUAGUGAACCAGCAGUGCUGCCUAGUGCUCACCAGGGCUGUUAUGUUUGCAAGGUUGCCAGGCGCACAGCAGGAUUCUGUGACCUCAGUGAUGACAUCAGAGCAUUCUGUUGACCUAGGUUCAGCACAGUCUCUGCAAUAGCACAGGCCCCGUUUUCAAGAACAAUUCCUGUUUCCCAGCUGAACCUUUCCCAUGAAAGGGAAAGGUUCAUACCACAUCUAUUAUAAAUUGUAUCAUACCAUAUCUAUUAUAAAAUGAACAUUUUGACUGGAGAUCUUUUAAUGUCUUAUAUAGAGAUUUAAUAUGAAUAUUUUAAAUGGUCUCCAGUUUCCCUGUGGAUUAUUGACAUUUUAAACUCUGCGCUUCAAUUUUCCCUCAAUACCUGUAAUUUUGUCACGGCUAUUUCUGUACUUAAAGAUGAGAAACUAUAUAAUUGAUUUCUUCAUUUUUUCCCAUCUCUUUCCAAGGUACUGAAUUUGAUUGUAUCUUACGAAUGAGUGAAAAAUGCUAGUCCUUGAGUCAGGACAUUGGGCCCUUUACCAAGUAACUCAACCUGUCUGGGCUAUAGCUUCUGUCUGUGCGAUCGAGAGGCUUGGCCUAGCUGACUUUUCAAAUGCUGUGUUUCUUUGAUUCACUCUCACGUACUGAUCUGCUACUUAAGAAGAGGGCCUGUUCU